GCCUCUAUGGUGAAAUAAGUAGAUGCGAGGGACUUAAAAUCCCUUUGUCCGUAAGGGCAGUGUAGGUUCAACUCCUACUAGGGGCACAA
RNAcentral lists this transfer RNA (89 nucleotides) under Bacteroidota bacterium. RNAcentral's name for it is "Bacteroidetes bacterium (marine metagenome) tRNA-Leu". It matches the Rfam family "tRNA". Rfam says of the family: Transfer RNA (tRNA) molecules are approximately 80 nucleotides in length. Their secondary structure includes four short double-helical elements and three loops (D, anti-codon, and T loops). Further hydrogen bonds mediate the characteristic L-shaped molecular structure. tRNAs have two regions of fundamental functional importance: the anti-codon, which is responsible for specific mRNA codon recognition, and the 3' end, to which the tRNAs corresponding amino acid is attached (by aminoacyl-tRNA synthetases). tRNAs cope with the degeneracy of the genetic code in two manners: having more than one tRNA (with a specific anti-codon) for a particular amino acid; and 'wobble' base-pairing, i.e. permitting non-standard base-pairing at the 3rd anti-codon position. The record is from RNAcentral. Lineage: Bacteria; Pseudomonadati; Bacteroidota.